GGCAAAGCGUUUGUCCAACCUAACUGGGUGUGGGGGCCGGGUUCUUGGGCAGAUAGGGGACCUAUGCGCAGUUGGGGGCUAUGAAAGCCUAGGCCGUUGUCAUUUCUUCUCCCCCUACACUGUCUUCUGUUUCCUCCCAUCCGUUUUUUGACGCUUGCCAGAGCUCAAAGACGUGGCGACAUAGUCUGAGUAAUAGCUGAGAAUGAAGCCGGCUUCUCGUGUUCCUCACUCUUUAGAAAAGUGAAGACUGUGGACAACCUUGCUUCUUGCACAUGAGAAAACAGACCAGAUUCUCCGUCUGUUUAUGGUUUUCAAAGCUCCACAUCCUCAAAUUCCAGACGCCAGACGUCAACACCAGCUCCCCUCUUCCUUCCAUUCAAGUUAGCUCAGUGGUUCUCAAAUUUCAGCAUCCGAAUCACCUGGAUGCUGUUGAAACACAUUUCUGGGUCCCACCCACAGAACUUCUGAUUCUGUGCAUCUGGAUGAGGCCCAAAAGUUUUCAGUUCCAUCAUGUUACCAAGUGAUGUGGAUGUUACUAAUCAGCGGCCAUGCUUUGCUUUAUAUAGAAGGGCUGUGCCUCUCUUUAAUCUCAGGAGUUUGGAAUGAAGAUCUCUUAUUUGUUGGCUUCAAAAUUGCAUAUGCAUACUUUCAAGUUUAUUAACUGACAUGUUUGAAUCUUCCAAACCUUCUUUUUAUGUUGCUUCGUCCUGAUUGCUCUGCCAGUUCUUGAGAAAGGUUACCAGCUCAGGGAAUGGACUGUCCUGGAGACAGAAGCUGGAGUCUGGAAGCCUCAAGACCAAUGCACCCCAUCUCUCUGGAAAGUCUGGGAGAGGACACGAUCAUUCUAGCACCAGUUU
Neofelis nebulosa (Clouded leopard) is the source of this 857-nucleotide long non-coding RNA. RefSeq lists it as uncharacterized. NCBI's taxonomy places the organism in Eukaryota, Metazoa, Chordata, Mammalia, Carnivora, Felidae. The transcript has 3 exons. The record is from RefSeq and is a predicted model, not a curated record.